GCAGUUCACAUCAAAGAUGGAGGGGAUGGUGACAGACUUGACUUUGGCUAGGGAAAAUCAAAACCAUUUUCAAGAAUAUCUCAGCAACAACCCUGCCGCAAGUCCUGGAAUUGAUUUAACUGUCACAGUUCUUACAACUGGGUUCUGGCCUAGUUAUAAAUCUUCUGAUUUGUGUCUCCCUGUGGAAAUGGUGAAGUGUGUAGAAGUCUUCAAGGAAUUCUAUCAGACAAAAACGAAACACAGGAAAUUGACAUGGAUUUAUUCAUUGGGUACGUGUAACAUCAACGGGAAGUUUGAUUCAAAAACCAUUGAACUGAUUCUGGGAACUUAUCAGGCUGCUGUUUUGUUAUUGUUUAAUUCUUCAGAUAGAUUGAGUUACUCAGAAAUCAAGAGUCAGUUAAAUUUGGCUGAUGAUGACUUGAUCAGAUUGCUUCAGUCCCUUUCAUGUGCCAAGUAUAAAAUUCUGAUCAAGGAACCUAGCAAUAGAACUGUUUCUUCUUCUGAUCAUUUUGAGUUCAACUCCAAGUUCACUGACAGGAUGAGGCGGAUUAGGGUCCCAUUACCUCCUGUGGAUGAAAGGAAAAAGGUAGUCGAGGAUGUAGACAAAGAUAGACGUUAUGCAAUUGAUGCCUGUAUCGUGCGCAUUAUGAAGAGUCGGAAAGUUCUUCCUCAUCAACAACUAGUGUUGGAGUGUGUUGAGCAGUUGAGCCGAAUGUUUAAGCCUGACUUCAAAGCAAUCAAAAAGCGAAUUGAAGAUCUCAUCACUAGAGAUUACUUGGAAAGAGACAAAGAGAACCCGAAUUUGUUCAAGUAUUUAGCCUGAAGCAAUAAUCUGUGUGCUCGGCUGAUUUUUUUUUUGUUCUCU
RNAcentral lists this unclassified non-coding RNA (865 nucleotides) under Hevea brasiliensis (rubber tree). Lineage: Eukaryota; Viridiplantae; Streptophyta; Magnoliopsida; Malpighiales; Euphorbiaceae. The record is from RNAcentral.